UCAGUUGAUGAAAUACUGUGCGGGUCAGAAACACACUUCUUACAUUUACAGCUAAAAACGAAUAAUAUAUUUGCACUUUAUAUUAGGCCUUAGCAAAGUCCUCCCACCAACACAUUGAGGUGUGCUACAAGAUAACUGGUAACUCUGUAAACAGGAGUAGGUGCAUCACCGGUCACUGAGCUGGCAAGCUAAAGUUAGCUAGUUAGUCACAUAAAUGUACGUUCAGCCUGAUGAUUAUUCAUCUUACGAAGUCAGCAUGGCUUAACAUAGUUUAUUUCGUGUUUGACUUCGACAUUGUUGGUGGAUAGAUACUUUCAUACCUAAUAUGCUGGCGCUGCUAGCUAGCUAAUGCUAACGGCGCUACCUAACCUCAUAUCUGGAUGCCUCACUCUAGUUCCCGAGAGAGCAGCAUACUGGCCCUCUAUUCCCAAACCUGAAGCCCCCUGUCCCCAGCAGGAAGGACCAGGAAAAAGAGCUAGCUUAAGACCUGCUCGGUGGGUGACAGGUAACCGUCUUUCCACCAAGAUGGGCCAGGCCUGGAGUGGGUGACAGGUAACCCUCUUUCCACCAAGAUGGGCCAGGCCUGGAGUGGGUGACAGGUAACCCUCUUUCCACCAAGCUGGGCCAGGCCUGGAGUGGGUGACAGGUAACCCUCUUUCCACCAAGAUGGGCCAGGCAUGGAGUGGGUGACAGGUAACCGUCUUUCCACCAAGAUGGGCCAGGCCUGGAGUGGGUGACAGGUAACCCUCUUUCCACCAAGCUGGGCCAGGCCUGGAGUGGGUGACAGGUAACCCUCUUUCAACCAAGCUAGGCCAGGCCUGGAGUGGCACGCUGGAACUUCCAGGGGCUUGUAGACCUGAAGCAGUGUGAUGUGGUCAAAUACACGUAUAUACAUUCACUCACUCUGUUUUGUUGUAUAAUUUUAACUUAAAAAAUGGUUCCUCUCUCUUUGAGAUCUGACACCCCUAUUAGCUCAACCACAGUCUUCACAGCUGCAGUCGUCUGCCCCUGCAUCUGCUACACCGGCCACGACAGGUGAUACAGAUCUGCCAUGUACUCCACCACUGCCUGACAGCCUCACCCAGAAGUGCAUAUACACGGGGCCUAGCAAGACUGACAAAGCAGAGAUGGGUGGCUGACAAGGAAAAAUAAAACAACAUGCACUCAAACACAUUAUCCACAAUGUAAAUAAGUUGUAAUUACUUGUUCAUUUAAUGUUUGGUCCAUUUUAUUUUAGGAUUGGAGAGAUCUACUCCUUCAUAUCCAUUGUCAAUAUCUACAUAAUUACUCUAAAUAUCGAUCAAAUCAAAGUGUGAUUGAUAAUAUUGUAAAAGGCUAUGGCUUAAUGUUUACAGUUUGGUGAUAUUCUGUGUGCUUUUUUUCUGAGUUGAAAAACAUGUCUCCCUCUCACACACACAUUAGGCCCAAUGUAAAUAAAUUGUAAUAACUUGUUUAUUUUAUGUAUGCUACAUUUUAUUUGAGGAAAAUAUCUGCAAUAAACUACAUUCAGUUAAAUCAAAUCAAAUGUAU
This is a long non-coding RNA of Oncorhynchus masou masou (cherry salmon), 1530 nucleotides long. RefSeq lists it as uncharacterized. Lineage: Eukaryota; Metazoa; Chordata; Actinopteri; Salmoniformes; Salmonidae. The record is from RefSeq and is a predicted model, not a curated record. The transcript is spliced from 4 exons.